CUUUUCGAGUUCCUCCGUAUGCCGUUUGGCCUCAAGGGGGCAGCGCAGACUUUUCAGAGAUUGAUGGACUCAGUGUUGCAGGGCCGCUCCUUCGUUUUUGU
Long non-coding RNA from Salarias fasciatus (jewelled blenny), 101 nucleotides. RefSeq lists it as uncharacterized. The record is from RefSeq and is a predicted model, not a curated record. NCBI's taxonomy places the organism in Eukaryota, Metazoa, Chordata, Actinopteri, Blenniiformes, Blenniidae. The transcript is spliced from 3 exons.